Molecule: ribosomal RNA, 270 nt
Filed under: uncultured bacterium
Lineage: Bacteria
Description: partial 16S ribosomal RNA
Rfam family: Bacterial small subunit ribosomal RNA
Source: RNAcentral
UACGAAGGGGGCUAGCGUUGUUCGGAAUCACUGGGCGUAAAGCGCACGUAGGCGGAUCUUUAAGUCAGGGGUGAAAUCCCGAGGCUCAACCUCGGAACUGCCUUUGAUACUGGGGAUCUCGAGUCCGGGAGAGGUGAGUGGAACUGCGAGUGUAGAGGUGAAAUUCGUAGAUAUUCGCAAGAACACCAGUGGCGAAGGCGGCUCACUGGCCCGAUACUGACGCUGAGGCACGAAAGCGUGGGGAGCAAACAGGAUUAGAACCGGACCUAC